Molecule: long non-coding RNA, 351 nt
Filed under: Cyanistes caeruleus (blue tit)
Lineage: Eukaryota; Metazoa; Chordata; Aves; Passeriformes; Paridae
Description: lncRNA (ENSCCEG00000008982.1)
Source: RNAcentral
UUAGUAAACAGCAUUGAAACUCUGGGUCUUGGCCUCACUGUCUACCCUGUUACUGUACCUGCAUUCCCCUAACAGACAGUUCUUUCAAAUGUUGAGUACUGUUUGCAGAACUUCUGUCAUAAAGCUAAGGACUGCAUUAGGAAAGAUUCCCAGUAUUUUCACAUAUAGUAUUUCUUCUGAAAACUUCUGGCUCAUGAGAGAGAUCAUAACAAGCCAAGGUCAUCUUUAGAAACUCUGGGGUUGUCUGCCCAGAUGCCACCUUUGACCACUUGCAAUACUGCACCCAAAAAGGAGGGAGAGGCCUGUCUGGAGAAAGGGGAGGAGCCCUGCCAGGAAGAAGGUGAGGGGAAC